RNAcentral lists this ribosomal RNA (3147 nucleotides) under Triticum aestivum (bread wheat). Its description in RNAcentral is "partial small subunit ribosomal RNA". The record is from RNAcentral. Lineage: Eukaryota; Viridiplantae; Streptophyta; Magnoliopsida; Poales; Poaceae.
AUGGCUGAACUGGCCAUCAGAUCAGCACAUGGCGCCGUAGACUCGCUACUGAGACGCCUCACAAGGCUCAUUGAAGACGAAGCAAAGCUGCUGAGCGGUGUCCGCGGCGAUGUCCAGUACAUCAAGGACGAGAUGGACAACGUUCAUGGAUUCCUCCUCAACUUCGUGGAAGACAGCUGCACGGACAACCAAAUGGAGGUCUGGGUUAGGCAUGUUAGGGAACUCGCUCGCGAUUCCGAAAAUUGUGUCGACGUCUACGAGCACAAACUCAGCACCAGUGCCGUUGCCCGUGCCCUUGCCCGUUACAGCGGCGGUUCCGAUAUUUUGUUGUGGUUCAACAGGGCUUUGUACCGGUUCGGGAUGCUUAUGUACACGGUGCCGGCACGCCACCGGCUCGCCACAGAGAUCAGACUGCUCAAAGAAAGGGCUGAACAUGUGAGCGAAAGGCGCACCAGGUAUGGCGUCCGCGAUCCUGAUCCUCAGAAGAGGGCAAAGCAACUUGAGGAAGUUUGUGGAGAUGAUACCAACAGGAAGAAAGACCCCAGGAUACAACAUUUGUUAGGCGACGAAGAUGAAAGCCUAGCUGGGAUUUUGGAGGGUGAUUUGAAGAUGCUGGUAUCUUGGUUAAUUGGGCAAGGAGAGGAGAUACAACCGGAUAUGCUAGUGGCCAAGCGGUUGACUGGGCCAGAAGAUGAGAUGCCAUGGCCGAAAAUUCCAGUGGACGAAUCAGUUUCAGUUGCGGGGACGUCUUGGCGGGAAAGGAGCAAGAGAAGGCCGGGCUUGGCAACAGCAGUCUCAAAGAGAUGGAUGCUGCGCUCGAUGUCCAGGAGGAAGAUCAUAGGCCUCAAAGAGCAGCUCGCUCAGCUAGAAGACAAUAUGCCCCAGCAAGACUUUCAGCUGGGGUGUAUUACAGGGUCAAGAGACAGGAUGCCACGGCAGGAUUUUCAGCUGGGGUUUAUCAAAGGGUCAAGAGACAAGGAUUCACGACCCAGGGUCAUCUCCAUUGUGCAACAGCGAUCAGGUGAUGACGAUCUGAAUUAUGCACAGAUAGUGUUUGAAGACAGUUUGAUAAAGGACUUCUUUGGUUUCAGAUGUCGGGUGAGGGUUGGGGAAAACCAUGCCAAAUGGGUAUUCGACGACAUAAUCAAAGACAUCUCAUCUCAGCAGGUGGAUCUGAAAGAGUGGCAAGAAACCAAGUAUUUAAUUGUUCUUGAUGAUGUCCGUGACGAAUCACUAUGCCACGAAAUCAUAUCUGGGUUUCCUCCUACUACUGCUGGUGGUCAUUCUGUAGUUCUAGUGAUCACCCACUCAUAUGCUCUAGCCCGUUCCUGCUCUCCAAAUGCAGUCUUCCCCCCUCUGGAGCCUAUUGUCAAGUUCUUCUUUGGCAAAGCGGUUUCCCUUGUUGAGAACAAUCCUGAGAAUGACACCCUGAAGCAAGUCAUUCGGUCCAUUUUAUCAAAAUGUGCACCCAGUCUCUUGUGCCUCAAGGCAUUCUUACAUGUUCUCUAUGUCAAUCCUAUGAGGAACAUACAAGAGCUUCAGGGCCUCUGCAACGACCUAACCAGUGACUCUCCUGGCAAUAUUCGGCACAUCUUAAUGUUCUGGUACAACAACCUCCCUCUCCAUUACAAGAACUGUUUGAUCUAUCUAUCUAUCUUUCCCCAAAAUGAUGGCGAUCAUAUCAAAAGAACGAGCCUAGUCAGGCGAUGGGCAGCUGAGAACCUGAUCACCGGAAGAAAUGGGUCAGCUGCACAGGAUGAAGCUGAACACUGCUUCAAUGUGCUUGUUGCAAAAAGAUUUCUUCUUUGCACCGGCAUUGGUGCUGCAGGGAAGGUCAAGAGCUGCAGGGUAAACAGUUUGAUAUCAAAAUUCAUCAGCGAUAUUGCCAGGGAGGAAAAGUUUGUGGAUGCAGAUCUCCAGCAAGAUUUCAGUAACCGGAUAUCCAUUCACAAUAGAAGCCAACUGCAACAAGUGUUAGGGACACUUCAGGCAUCUCCUCGCCCCAGCUCCUGUUGGAACAUUCGCAAGCACUCAACUGAUACUGAAGAUGGUCAACCCUUGGAUGACCUUACCAAGUUCCUUGAAACACUGCCUUCAUUUGCUCAGCUGGGGUUGGUUAGAGUGCUGGAUCUCGAAGGCUUUGAUGGUUUGAAGGAUCACCAUGUGGACAACAUCUGCGAGAUAUUUCAGCUAAGAUAUCUAAACCUUCGGAGGACUAAGAUUACCAAACUGCCCAAGAAGAUGGAGUAUCUUCAACAGUUGGAAACACUGGACAUUCGGGAAACAGCUGUAAGAUCAUUUGCUACAAAAGUUGUAGUGCUUCCAAUGCUAAAGCAUAUGCUCGCUGGGUACGCCCAACACUCAAACGAAGACAUGGAGUCAUUUUCCACGGUGUGCAUGCCUCGUGGAACUGGGGGCAUGGGAAAUCUGCAGAUACUGUGCCAUGUAGAUGUUUCGGGCAAAGAAGAUCGGCUGGUUGAGAUUGGGAGGCUACAACAGCUUAGAAAGCUAGGUGUUGUAUUCCAAAGCAACAGAAAUAAUUUCAAGCACUUGCUCCAGGCAAUUGAGAAGCUGAACAAGAGCCUCCUCUCUCUCUCACUCCGUGUGGAAACAACACAAGGCCAUGAGAUUACAGACAUUAACGCAGCAGAGCCUACAGCAUUCUCACCUCCAAAGCAUCUUCAGAGCCUAAACCUUUGUGGCGUCAGGGGAGGAUUGCCUCGUUGGAUCAAGGAGCUCCACAAACUUGCAAAGUUAACUCUGUGUGAAACACAUUUGGAAGAAGGCGACAUAACAUCCCUUGGCGAGCUCAUUGGGUUACGCUGUCUCAGGCUCCGGCACAGGUCGUAUGUCCAAACCAAGCUGACCCUUCAGAAAGGAGCAUUCAAAAAUCUUGAGUUUAUUCUCAUAGAAGGAUCAGACAUUACUGACAUCAGCUUCCACAAGACCCCCAAGAUAGAGAAGAUAGUUUGGAAGUUCAGAGAGAUGAAAUCAAUUCAUGGAAUCAGCCGCCUUCCACGCCUCAGCCGGCUUGAGCUCAUUGGCAACUGCGACCCAACUGCUACCAAAGAAGCACUUUUCAACCAUCCAAACCGGCCUGUCGUAAUUCACAAUGGACAGGUAAUACACAGUGGCGGGCGAAGAUGA